AUGUCAAUCAUCACUAGGGACAACUCUUACAUUGCCUUUGUGAAGGCUCGUCAUAGUGAAUUUCUUAUGUAUGAUCUUGGUCCUCUUCGCUCCUUCCUUGAGAAUGAGAUUUCAUCUUUAUUUUCUAAGAAGUAUACCCAGGAUCUUCUUGCUCGUGCUACUCUUACUGACGAGCGCACUGUUGAGACUCAACAUCCACCUUUGUGUCCACCUCCGCUCCCUGCCAGUCUGGAUGGGCAUCCUUUGCCUUGCUGUGGGUUGGUAUGUGAACUGUCUCAAUCCCACAUCCCAUGCUCCCUUGUUGAGCGACACCAUAACCCUCGAGCAACACCAAUGGUGAGCAGGAGCUUGGACAAUCGGCGCGUACCUAGAUUAUGCACGACAAGCCGAGGACAGACGCUACCUAAAGCCAGGGCUAAGGGCGCACAAUAA
Molecule: ribosomal RNA, 432 nt
Filed under: Triticum aestivum (bread wheat)
Lineage: Eukaryota; Viridiplantae; Streptophyta; Magnoliopsida; Poales; Poaceae
Description: partial small subunit ribosomal RNA
Source: RNAcentral